GGCGCUGUGGCGAAGUAGCUAACGCAAGAGUCUGCAAAACUCCCAUUCGUGGGUGCAAAUCCCACCAGCGCCU
RNAcentral lists this transfer RNA (73 nucleotides) under Parcubacteria group bacterium CG1_02_44_31. RNAcentral's name for it is "tRNA-Cys". It matches the Rfam family "tRNA". From Rfam's summary of the family: Transfer RNA (tRNA) molecules are approximately 80 nucleotides in length. Their secondary structure includes four short double-helical elements and three loops (D, anti-codon, and T loops). Further hydrogen bonds mediate the characteristic L-shaped molecular structure. tRNAs have two regions of fundamental functional importance: the anti-codon, which is responsible for specific mRNA codon recognition, and the 3' end, to which the tRNAs corresponding amino acid is attached (by aminoacyl-tRNA synthetases). tRNAs cope with the degeneracy of the genetic code in two manners: having more than one tRNA (with a specific anti-codon) for a particular amino acid; and 'wobble' base-pairing, i.e. permitting non-standard base-pairing at the 3rd anti-codon position. The record is from RNAcentral. RNAcentral also lists the same sequence under 3 other names.